UCUGUGCACAGCCACCCAUCUCUCAUUGGAGUUUUCUACUGAGAAAAAUUAAAUGGUCAUCAGAACUACAUCUUCCUAAGGGGGAAAGAAACACCCAAUAACAUCUUGGCAGGUGCUGCAUAAUCAUGCCUCAAAUGACUUUCUGAAGAUAAAAAGAAUGUGGUACUUGCUUGCAUAACUGAACAUAUCUGCCUGAGUUGUUUUCCUACAGAUGUUAUCCUGGGAAUAGAAACAAAAUUGUUCAUUCCCUAGCAGCCUUCAAGAAGCACUGUGAUCUAGGGCAGCACAGAGCCA
This 294-nucleotide long non-coding RNA is filed under the name Pan troglodytes (chimpanzee). RNAcentral describes it as "long non-coding RNA NONPTRT012612". The record is from RNAcentral. Lineage: Eukaryota; Metazoa; Chordata; Mammalia; Primates; Hominidae.